AAUGCGAUAAGUAAUGUGAAUGCAGAAAUUCAGUGAAUCAUCGAAUCUUUGAACGCACAUUGCGCCCUUGGUAUUCCGGAGGGCAUGCCUGUUCGAGCGUCAUUUCAACCCUCAAGCUCUGCUUGGUAUUGGGCGACGUCCUCUAAGGACGCGCCUCGAAGACCUCGGCGACGGCGUCUUUAGCCUCGAGCGUAGUAGUAACAUUCUCGCUUUGGAGCGCUGGACGGUGGCCGCCGGACAAUCGACCUUUGGUCCAUUAUUUCCAAGGUUGACCUCGGAUCAGGUAGGGAUACCCGCUGAACUUAAGCAUAUCAAUAAGCGGAGGAAAAGAAACCAACAGGGAUUGCCUUAGUAACGGCGAGUGAAGCGGCAAUAGCUCAAAUUUGAAAGCUGGCGUCUUCGACGUCCGCGUUGUAAUUUGUAGAGGAUGCUUCGGCGAGGACUCCUGCCUAAGUCCCCUGGAACGGGGCGUCACAGAGGGUGAGAAUCCCGUACGUGGCGGGCGGUCCGAGCCAUGUGAAGCUCCUUCGACGAGUCGAGUUGUUUGGGAAUGCAGCUCUAAAUGGGAGGUAAAUUUCUUCUAAAGCUAAAUAUUGGCCAGAGACCGAUAGCGCACAAGUAGAGUGAUCGAAAGAUGAAAAGCACUUUGGAAAGAGAGUUAAAAAGUACGUGAAAUUGUUGAAAGGGAAGCGCUUGCAACCAGACUCGCUCGCAGUUGCUCAGCCGGCCUCUUGGCCGGUGUACUCUUCUGCGAUCGGGCCAGCAUCAGUUCGGGCGGCCGGAUAAAGGUGUCGGGAAUGUAGCACCCUUCGGGGUGUGUUAUAGCCCGGCGCGGAAUGCGGCCAGCCUGGACUGAG
Molecule: unclassified non-coding RNA, 857 nt
Filed under: leaf metagenome
Description: partial contains 5.8S ribosomal RNA, internal transcribed spacer 2, and large subunit ribosomal RNA
Rfam family: Eukaryotic large subunit ribosomal RNA (bases 270-857)
Source: RNAcentral